AUUCGAUCAAAAAUAAAUAAAUAACCUGUACAAGAAUUUUCUUUUUGACCUACCAAAGAUAAUGGCAGUUCGCAGCAAUUCUCUUCUAUUCAUCUUUGCAAUUAUGUGCAUUGUUUCAUCGAUUGUUGCGGUUGAAGGGGAUGUGUUAGAUGCUGGAUCUUGCUUUUUAUUGGGAGCAUGUCCAGAUCGGAGCGGUGAUUGUUUCAAUUUUUGUGUGAAGGAAAAGAAAAACACUGCAGGUGGAGAGUGUGCCAAAGACACAGGAAUUUGUUGUUGUUAUGUUUGAAGAUUUUUACAUUUAAUUAAUUGUGUUAGUUUUUCUUUAUGUUGCGAUAAUUAUAUUCAUAAAAAUAUAAUUACUAUGAUUUACUUUAAUUGAUUAGUUGCAUUUUACUAUUCUUGUGAUAGCGAUGAAAUUUAAAGUAAAAAUUUGAAAUUGUUA
This is a long non-coding RNA of Lathyrus oleraceus (garden pea), 442 nucleotides long. RefSeq lists it as uncharacterized. NCBI's taxonomy places the organism in Eukaryota, Viridiplantae, Streptophyta, Magnoliopsida, Fabales, Fabaceae. The record is from RefSeq and is a predicted model, not a curated record. The transcript has 2 exons.